ACGCUCGACACCUACGGGGGGCAGCAGUGGGGAAUAUUGCACAAUGGGGGAAACCCUGAUGCAGCGACGCCGCGUGAGCGAAGAAGUAUUUCGGUAUGUAAAGCUCUAUCAGCAGGGAAGAAAGUGACGGUACCUGACUAAGAAGCACCGGCUAAAUACGUGCCAGCAGCCGCGGUAAUCUGAGCGGGCUGGCAAGGC
Molecule: ribosomal RNA, 198 nt
Filed under: uncultured bacterium
Lineage: Bacteria
Description: partial 16S ribosomal RNA
Rfam family: Bacterial small subunit ribosomal RNA
Source: RNAcentral